GCAGAGCAUCCUACGGGAGGCAGCAGUGGGGAAUAUUCGCACUAAUGGGCGCAAGCCUGAUGCAGCCCAGUGCCCGCGUUGUAUUGGAAGAAGGUCCUUCGGGUUGUAAAGUACUUUCAGCAGUGAGGAAGUGGGUAUGUUAAUACGCAUAUUCAUUUGACGUUAGCUGCAGAAGAAGCACCGGCUAACUCCGUGCCAGCAGCCGCGGUAAUACGGAGGGUGCGAGCGUUAAUCGGAAUUACUGGGCGUAAAGCGCAUGCAGGUGGUUGUUAAGUCAGAUGUGAAAGCCCGGGGCUCAACCUCGGAAUUGCAUUUGAAACUGGCAAACUAGAGUACUGUAGAGGGGGUAGAAUUUCAGGUGUAGCGGUGAAAUGCGUAGAGAUCUGAAGGAAUACCGGUGGCGAAGGCGGCCCCCUGGACAGAUACUGACACUCAGAUGCGAAAGCGUGGGGAGCAAACAGGAUUAGAUACCCUGGUAG
This 479-nucleotide ribosomal RNA is filed under the name uncultured bacterium. RNAcentral describes it as "bacterial SSU rRNA". It matches the Rfam family "Bacterial small subunit ribosomal RNA", at positions 329 to 793 of the family's 1533-position model. The record is from RNAcentral.